This 163-nucleotide ribosomal RNA is filed under the name uncultured bacterium. Its description in RNAcentral is "partial 16S ribosomal RNA". It matches the Rfam family "Bacterial small subunit ribosomal RNA", at positions 355 to 509 of the family's 1533-position model. The record is from RNAcentral.
UAGGGAAUCUUCGGCAAUGGGGGCAACCCUGACCGAGCAACGCCGCGUGAGUGAAGAAGGUUUUCGGAUCGUAAAGCUCUGUUGUAAGAGAAGAACGUGUGUGAGAGUGGAAAGUUCACACAGUGACGGUAACUUACCAGAAAGGGACGGCUAACUACGUGCC